This 369-nucleotide long non-coding RNA is filed under the name Struthio camelus australis. RNAcentral describes it as "lncRNA (ENSSCUG00000002579.1)". The record is from RNAcentral. Lineage: Eukaryota; Metazoa; Chordata; Aves; Struthioniformes; Struthionidae.
GUGACAAUCUGGUUCUCUGUCAUGUCAGUCAGCUUAAAUCCACUUGAUGCGGCCAGUUUCCUCCAAUUCAUGGUUGUGCAUCACACUGCACAGUGCUUGUGGAGAAGAACUGCAUCUACUGUGCCCCUUGUGCUAAGCCAGCUCCUUUAUAUACUGCUGUACCGGACCCAUUGAACAAUGCUUGAACCUGAUCUUUCGUGUGCUGACAACCUGCCCUCUGAUGGGGCUGUCGUACCCCAGCAGCAGAAUGGACAAACAGCAAUUUUGCACCCCGUUCCGUAUGACGGGCAGUCAUUUCCACUGAAGAGCAGGCCUGGUGUAUUUCUCUCAGGCUUCUCCUUCUACAACAAAUCCCUUUCAUUUGGAUGA